ACGUUUGUCCAUACCGGAGACCUUAUGAAUGAUGAAAUUAUUGGUUAUUAAGAUUAAAAAAAUAGUAAAAAUUAGUUGAAAUAUAUAUGGUACAAUUUUUUAUAAGUUUGAAAAAGUUUAAUAACAUGCACGUUUAUCCAUACCGGAGACCUAGUUUGGUAUAAAUUGUUUUUGAUAUUAUUUUCAAUUGCUUAAUUUUCGGUUUAAUUUUUCUAUACUUUUUCUUAAUUAGAGAAAUAUGAAAAUUAAAAGAAUUACACAUAAUUUUUACUCAAAAAAAUAAUUAAUUUUG
This 292-nucleotide long non-coding RNA is filed under the name Actinidia chinensis (golden kiwifruit). RNAcentral's name for it is "long non-coding RNA (ACHI_LNC008269)". Lineage: Eukaryota; Viridiplantae; Streptophyta; Magnoliopsida; Ericales; Actinidiaceae. The record is from RNAcentral.